Molecule: ribosomal RNA, 404 nt
Filed under: uncultured bacterium
Lineage: Bacteria
Description: bacterial SSU rRNA
Rfam family: Bacterial small subunit ribosomal RNA
Source: RNAcentral
UUUUGGACAAUGGGCGAAAGCCUGAUCCAGCAAUGCCGCGUGCAGGAAGAAGGCCUUCGGGUUGUAAACUGCUUUUGUACGGAACGAAACGGUCCUUUCUAAUAAAGAGGGCUAAUGACGGUACCGUAAGAAUAAGCACCGGCUAACUACGUGCCAGCAGCCGCGGUAAUACGUAGGGCGCGAGCGUUAAUCGGAAUUACUGGGCGUAAAAGCGUGCGCAGGCGGUUCUAUAAGACAGAUGUGAAAUCCCCGGGCUCAACCUGGGAAUGGCAUUUGUGACUGUAGAGCUAGAGUACGGUAGAGGGGGAUGGAAUUCCGCGUGUAGCAGUGAAAUGCGUAGAUAUGCGGAGGAACACCGAUGGCGAAGGCAAUCCCCUGGACCUGUACUGACGCUCAUGCACGAA